This 785-nucleotide ribosomal RNA is filed under the name uncultured Pelagibacteraceae bacterium. RNAcentral's name for it is "bacterial SSU rRNA". It matches the Rfam family "Bacterial small subunit ribosomal RNA", at positions 53 to 886 of the family's 1533-position model. The record is from RNAcentral. Lineage: Bacteria; Pseudomonadati; Pseudomonadota; Alphaproteobacteria; Candidatus Pelagibacterales; Candidatus Pelagibacteraceae.
ACAUGCAAGUCGAACGAAGUAGCAAUACUUAGUGGCAGACGGGUGAGUAACAUGUGGGUAUCUGCCCUUUGGCCUGGAAUAACACGAGGAAACUUGUGCUAAUACCAGAUAAGUCUUUACGGAGAAAGCUUUAUGCACCAUUGGAUGAGCCCGCACUUGAUUAGUUUGUUGGUGGGGUAAUGGCCUACCAAGACUUUGAUCAAUAGCUGAUUUGAGAGGAUGAUCAGCCACAUUGGGACUGAGACACGGCCCAAACUCCUACGGGAGGCAGCAGUGGGGAAUCUUGCACAAUGGAGGAAACUCUGAUGCAGCGAUGCCGCGUGAGUGAAGAAGGCCCUUGGGUUGUAAAGCUCUUUCGUCGGGGAAGAAAAUGACUGUACCCGAAUAAGAAGGUCCGGCUAACUUCGUGCCAGCAGCCGCGGUAAUACGAAGGGACCUAGCGUAGUUCGGAAUUACUGGGCUUAAAGAGUUCGUAGGUGGUUGAAAAAGUUGGUGGUGAAAUCCCAGAGCUUAACUCUGGAACUGCCAUCAAAACUUUUCAGCUAGAGUUUGAUAGAGGAAAGCAGAAUUUCUAGUGUAGAGGUGAAAUUCGUAGAUAUUAGAAAGAAUACCAAUUGCGAAGGCAGCUUUCUGGAUCAUUACUGACACUGAGGAACGAAAGCAUGGGUAGCGAAGAGGAUUAGAUACCCUCGUAGUCCAUGCCGUAAACGAUGUGUGUUAGACGUUGGAAAUUUUUUUUCAGUGUCGCAGCGAAAGCGAUAAACACACCGCCUGGGGAGUACGAC